UACGGAGGGUGCAAGCGUUAUCCGGAUUCACUGGGUUUAAAGGGUGCGUAGGCGGGCUUGUAAGUCAGCGGUGAAAUCCCAGAGCUUAACUCUGGAACUGCCAUUGAUACUGCAAGUCUUGAAUAUCCUGGAGGUGGGCGGAAUACAUCAUGUAGCGGUGAAAUGCUUAGAUAUGAUGUAGAACACCGAUUGCGAAGGCAGCUCACUACAGGAUGAUUGACGCUGAGGCACGAAAGCGUGGGGAUCAAACAGG
RNAcentral lists this ribosomal RNA (253 nucleotides) under uncultured bacterium. Its description in RNAcentral is "partial 16S ribosomal RNA". It matches the Rfam family "Bacterial small subunit ribosomal RNA", at positions 524 to 776 of the family's 1533-position model. The record is from RNAcentral.